AGGAAAACCACUGAUUGAGGCAUCAAAGAAGCUAAUCAAAGUGAAGAAAAUCUUGCCAUGUUGAAGUAGCUUGACUAAUAUACCAAAAUCUAUCUUUAAUACUGCUGUAUCAAAGUCCUCAGGCAAAGUUGAUAUGAAAAUUUACUUGGAAUGAACAGAAUUUACAGCUAAUGUCUGGAAAUCAGCAAGAGAACAUUUAUGUUCAGGUCCCAUGUAUCAACUGAGAGCUAAGUGAAAAGCAAUCAGGUUUUUAAAUAAAACCCAAACCCAUCAAAAGAAAAUGCUUUCAGAAUGCUGAAAGUGUAAAAGCAAAGAUGAAGUGGGACCUGAGCAGAGGUGACACAAAGCCCCUAAAAGCUGGUAACACUGUAUAGUGGAUAGUGACUGACUGGAUGUUGAGAGAAUCAGGUCAAAUUUGCUGUCUUCAUUUCAUG
Molecule: long non-coding RNA, 434 nt
Filed under: Cyanistes caeruleus (blue tit)
Lineage: Eukaryota; Metazoa; Chordata; Aves; Passeriformes; Paridae
Description: lncRNA (ENSCCEG00000003501.1)
Source: RNAcentral